CAGGUUUAACACGCACCCCCCCUCUCUCUCUGCGCAGGUUGUCUUCUCAAUUGUGAGCGACAAAAGUAGCAUAAUAAGACUCACUUUCUUUUUACUAACCAAUACUACCAUUCUUGCUCCCUUUUUUCCACAAUUCUCCUGCAGAUUCAGUUAAGCAUUUUUACACACACAUAAUCUGCAAUUUUACAGUCUCCGGUUGGAUCGCCGGUUUCCGGUAUGGAAACAAUCGGCCGGAACCCACUUUGUUUUUCAUCUAAAAUUCUUUACACACAAUUAUAGUUAGAUAAUUGAUAAACAAACCCAAUAUAUAUAUAUUUUUUUUGGUUGAAAUGGCUGACAUCAAUGUUAACUCAGUGUUGACUUCGGGGGAAGAUAUGGCGGAGAAAGCAUUGAGCAAGCGAUAUGAAGGGUUAGUUGCUGUCCGUACAAAAGCUAUAAAAGGUAAAGGAGCUUGGUACUGGGCUCAUCUGGAGCCUGUUUUGAUUCAAAAUCCGGAAACGAAUCAUCCAAAAGCAGUGAAACUUAAGUGCACUUUGUGUGAUGCUGCGUUUUCGGCUUCAAAUCCGUCACGGACUGCUACAGAGCAUCUUAAAAGAGGUACUUGUCCCAAUUUUGGGAGGCCCAUUUCACAAUUACCCCCUUUAGCUUCACCUACUUCGCAGAAUAAUCAUCGCAAGAGAAGUUCACCACAAACUGGUACAUGUUCAUAUUCGCAACAAUUUGGAGUGGUGAACACUUCGCCGCGAUUCUGCGGCGAAAUGGGCUAUUCACCACUCCAAACAGCUCAAGCAAUUGUUACACAUACGGGCUUGAAUCAACAACAUUUGAUGUUGUCGGGUGGGAAAGAGGAUUUGGAUGCUUUAGCUAUGUUGGAAGAUAGUGUAAAGAGGCUUAAAAGUUUGAAAAGUUCACCUGGUCCAGCUUUGAAUAAGGACCAGGUUGAUUCAGCUUUCAAUUUGCUGGCUGAUUGGUUUUAUGAGUCUUGUGGGACUGUGACACUUUCGAGUCUCGAGCAUCCAAAAUUCAAGGCUUUCCUUAGCCAAGUAGGCUUGCCUCAGGUGUCAAGAAAGGAUUUUGUAGGAGAAAAACUUGAUUCUAAGUUUGAUGAAGCAAGAGUGGAGUCGGAAGCUAGGAUUCGCGAUGCAGCAUUUUUUCAAGUUUCUUCAGAUGGAUGGGGGAGGGAUAUUUGUAAGUAUGGGGAAGAUACUGUGAUUAAAUUUAUCAUAAAUCUUCCUAACGGUACUAAUGUAUUUCAUAAGGCAGUGUAUAAGGGCGGAUUGGUGCCAUCGGAGUAUGCAGAGGAAGUUUUACGGGAAACUAUUAAAGGGUUGUGUGGUAAUGUUGUUCAAAGAUGUGUGGGAAUAGUUGGAGACAAGUAUAAAAGUAAGGCAUUGAGGAAUUUGGAGUUACAAAAUCAUUGGAUGGUGAAUCUUUCAUGCCAACUUCAUGGAUUUAUUAGUUUGUUGAAGGACUUUGGUAGAGAGCUUCCACUUUUUAAAAUUGUUACUGAUAAUUGCUUAAAAAUUGCAAAUCUUUUCAAUAGCAAGUCCCAAAUCAGAAAUCAUUUUAGGAAAUUCAGGUCGCACGGUGUUGAGCUUGCAGGGUUGAUUAGAGUUCCUUCAGCUGACUGCAAUCUGUCUAAGAACUAUGGUCCUGUUAUUGCAAUGUUGGAGGAUAUACUAAGUUAUGCUCGAAUACUGCAGUUAAUAGUGCUGGAUGAUUCCUAUAAGGUCUCAUGCAUAGAGGAUCCUGUUGCUAAAGAAGUUGCUGAAAUGAUACAGGAUGUUGGGUUUUGGAAUGAUGUGGAGGCUGUUCAUUCACUAGUGAAGCUGAUCAAGGAGAUGACUGAUGAUAUUGAGGUCCAGAGACCCUUAGUUGGUCAGUGUCUUCUUCUUUGGGAGGAGUUGAGAGCUAAAGUAAAGGACUGGUGUGCCAAAUUUAGCAUUGCUGAGGGACCUAUUGAGAAGAUAAUCGAUACACGGUUCAAGAAAAACUAUCACCCUGCAUGGUCAGCUGCAUUUGUACUUGAUCCAUUAUACUUAGUGAGGGAUGCAAGUGGGAAGUAUCUUCCACCAUUUAAACGUCUCACACAUGAUCAAGAGAAGGACAUAGACAAGCUAAUAACACGGCUAGUACCACGGGAGGAAGCUCCCACUGCACUAAUGGAGCUUAUGAAAUGGAGAUCAGAAGGGCUCGACCCACUGUACGCUCAGGCUGUUCAAGUAAAGCAGCGAGAUCCUGUAACAGGACGAAUGAAAAUUGCAAAUCCUCAGAGUAGCAGGCUUGUAUGGGAAACUUGCCUGAAAGAGUUCAAGUCGCUGGGGAAGGUUGCUGUUAGGCUUCUCUUCCUUCAGGCAACCUCAUGUGGAUUCAAAUGUAAUUGGUCCUUUAUGAGAUGGGUUUCUCUGCAAGGGCAAUCGAGGGUUGGCAUGGAUAGAGCUCAAAGGAUGAUCUUCAUUGCAGCUCACGCAAAACUUGAGAAACGGGAUUUUUCCAGUGAUGAGGAGAAGGAUGCUGAGAUGCUUACUACAGCAAAUGUUCGACCAAGUGGAAAUGGGAAGCUACUUGAAGAUGCGAGUGAUAUGAAGUACUAAUUUCCAUUGGUAAGAAAUUUAAAUGUUGGAAGACAUGUGUGGAAUAGUUGUCUGAAUUUGUUGUCCUUUUCUCUAGUCAAGUUUCUCUUCAUUAAUUGUUGCAUGAAAAAUCGGGUAAGCAUUUAUGAGAUCAGUCAACCUAAGAACAGUCCGGAAGCAGAUCCUUGUAGCCAGAAGAAUGACUCCAGAGCAUCUGCUUUUAGAGUCCCACAGACGUUGCAUCAAGAGGAAGGUUAGAGGGAAAGUUAUUUGUUUCUUUCGAUUUUCUAAAGUAUUUAAUUGUUUAUUUUAUUCCCAUCAGCCAAGACUGUUUAAAAAGCUUUAGGCUAACUAUUUCUUUAAGUAUCAUGACCAUCUAUCUACUCUCAUACAAGGUGGUACUUUGUUGAAAAUUUUACACCAGAUUCUUAAUUUGAAAGUUAAAAGUUUUUUCUUAGUGCUUGGUUAUUUCACCUGAUUGGAAAAAGCUACUUUGAGCAAACUGUAAGCAAGGGGCUGUCGGCAUUAUGGAUUGCAUAUUAUAGCUGAAAAGAUUUUUCAACGAAUUUCAACUGUCUUCUGGCUCUACUUUGCUGCCUAUAACAUUGACUACUAAUAUAAUUUGGUAUGUAUGGAGGCAUGAUGUUUUUUUUUUUCAUGUUGUCAUUCACGUGCACCAUUCAUAAUUACACUUCAGAUAAUAGGACUUCACUAAGUUUUGGUUCAAGUAUUCGUCUUAAACUGGUAACUGUUAUAACUGCUUAUAGAUUUCUAAGGAAUACCUAUAAUUUAUGACUUGCAUGCUGAUGUACUUGCUCCAUAGCUGACUUAACAAAUUCUGGUCUUGGAAACCUCUAUGAAAUGAUUGUUAAUAUAUAACUACGCUGAAAUUGGAUACAUUAACCAUCAUUUGAUUCCUUUUCUUGUGGCUGAAUUCUUGACAAUCUUAACAUGACAUAGUACCCUACAGGUAAAAAUUUCCAAUCUACGGGACAUGUUUAUGAUUAUUCUUUAACAUCUUAGUGUGCAAUAGUACAGGAGAUGGUGAAAAAGUGGUGAGAUGAAACAUACAGAAGGUAGGGCACUGCUGCAUAUGGGUUGUAUGAUUUAUUUGGACAAAAAAAUUGUACAGCAUACACGAAAAAGAGAGGCGGGAAGGGCCAAAAAGAGGAAACGAAAUUAAAAAGCCGAUUUUUCUGGAGGAUGAUAUUGUUACUGCUAGUUCACUUG
RNA transcript from Solanum pennellii, 3803 nucleotides. RefSeq lists it as uncharacterized. The record is from RefSeq and is a predicted model, not a curated record. The transcript has 3 exons. NCBI's taxonomy places the organism in Eukaryota, Viridiplantae, Streptophyta, Magnoliopsida, Solanales, Solanaceae.